RNAcentral lists this ribosomal RNA (82 nucleotides) under Klebsiella pneumoniae. RNAcentral's name for it is "partial 16S ribosomal RNA". It matches the Rfam family "Bacterial small subunit ribosomal RNA", at positions 1 to 80 of the family's 1533-position model. The record is from RNAcentral. RNAcentral also lists the same sequence under 1 other name. Lineage: Bacteria; Pseudomonadati; Pseudomonadota; Gammaproteobacteria; Enterobacterales; Enterobacteriaceae.
UUAAAUUGAAGAGUUUGAUCAUGGCUCAGAUUGAACGCUGGCGGCAGGCCUAACACAUGCAAGUCGAGCGGUAGCACAGAGA